Non-coding RNA from Lactobacillus sp. ASF360, 93 nucleotides. The record is from Rfam. NCBI's taxonomy places the organism in Bacteria, Bacillati, Bacillota, Bacilli, Lactobacillales, Lactobacillaceae.
GAUCAAACUAUAAGACGUGGGAGUUAGUAAAUAACUACCGAAUCGGAAUACUGGCAUUGUGCCCAGGAUCCAUAUUCGCUGCGAUACUAACUC